UCUCUAGGGAGCAUGUGCACGCCUUGUCAUCUUUAUAUCUCCACCUGUGCACUUUUUGUAGACCUUUCAGGUCUAUGUUGCUUCAUUUACCCCAAUGUAUGUUAAUAGAAUGUUGUGCCUAUAUAAUCUAUACAACUUUCAGCAACGGAUCUCUUGGCUCUCGCAUCGAUGAAGAACGCAGCGAAAUGCGAUAAGUAAUGUGAAUUGCAGAAUUCAGUGAAUCAUCGAAUCUUUGAACGCACCUUGCGCUCCUUGGUAUUCCGAGGAGCAUGCCUGUUUGAGUGUCAUUAAUAUAUAUAUCAAACUUCUCUUGUUGAGUGGUUUGGAUGUGGGGGUUUGCUGGCCUCUUAAAGGGUUCAGCUCCUCUGAAAUGCAUUAGCAGAACAACCUGUUCAUUGGUGUGAUAACUAUCUACGCUAUUGAAUGUGAGGGGCAGUUCAGCUUUCUAACAGUCCUUGGACAAUUCAUCAUUAAUGUGACCUCAAAUCAGGUAGGACUACCCGCUGAACUUAAGCAUAUCAAUAAGCGGAGGAAAAGAAACUAACAAGGAUUCCCCUAGUAACUGCGAGUGAAGCGGGAAA
Molecule: ribosomal RNA, 581 nt
Filed under: uncultured fungus
Lineage: Eukaryota; Fungi
Description: eukaryotic LSU rRNA
Rfam family: 5.8S ribosomal RNA (bases 134-287)
Source: RNAcentral